RNAcentral lists this ribosomal RNA (253 nucleotides) under uncultured bacterium. Its description in RNAcentral is "partial 16S ribosomal RNA". It matches the Rfam family "Bacterial small subunit ribosomal RNA", at positions 524 to 776 of the family's 1533-position model. The record is from RNAcentral.
UACGGAGGGUGCAAGCGUUAUCCGGAUUCACUGGGUUUAAAGGGUGCGUAGGUGGGCAAGUAAGUCAGUGGUGAAAUCUCCGGGCUUAACCCGGAAACUGCCAUUGAUACUAUAGGUCUUGAAUCUUCUGGAGGUCAGCGGAAUAUGUCAUGUAGCGGUGAAAUGCUUAGAUAUGACAUAGAACAUCAAUUGCGAAGGCAGCUGACUACGGGAGCAUUGACACUGAGGCACGAAAGCGUGGGGAUCAAACAGG